Parelaphostrongylus tenuis is the source of this 71-nucleotide non-coding RNA. NCBI's taxonomy places the organism in Eukaryota, Metazoa, Nematoda, Chromadorea, Rhabditida, Metastrongylidae. The record is from the annotation of a GenBank genome assembly.
GAAAGUGGUGCAACGGUUUAGCACGCGCUCCCGUAAAGAGUGAGAUCUGGGUUCGAAUCCCGACAGGAGCA